Molecule: long non-coding RNA, 550 nt
Organism: Neofelis nebulosa (Clouded leopard)
Lineage: Eukaryota; Metazoa; Chordata; Mammalia; Carnivora; Felidae
Exons: 3
Source: RefSeq, a predicted model, not a curated record
CCCAGCUGGCUGAUGCCUUAAUUUGGGGUUUGUGAAACCAGGAGCAGAGACACCAACUGAAGCAGCCUAGCUUUCUGAACUACAGAACAGUCCAUCACUCCCUCAGAUCCCUCUAAGACAUAUGCAAAAAGGAACAAUGAUUUUUUAAAAGCCAGCCAGCCUUCCCGCUGAGCAUAUAAGUUCUGCCACUUAUGGCUGGAGGUUACUUCCUGUGUGCCAUCCUUACCCAACUGAAGGUGUCUGACUGAUGCUCUGUGUUGGCUCUUAUAUCCAGCUGGACUACUAAAUCAACUAGAGACCUCAAAUUGACUAUAUUCUGAAAGAAGAAGCAGACAACAUCUGAAUAGACUGCUUUCCUGAAAGUCAGGACCAGGUCAGUACAAUAACUCUUUAAUAUUUGCCAAAAGUAUAAUGAAAACUUUUAAAUUCAUUGAGAUCUUUGUUCUACUGUUUACCUGGGUAGGAAUUCUUAUGAAUUUUGCUGUUUGAUACUCAGUAGGACUUCUUCCCCUGUGGUAGCCAAAUCUCAAAGCUUUCUGUAUACCUAUUG